RNAcentral lists this long non-coding RNA (248 nucleotides) under Lathyrus oleraceus (garden pea). RNAcentral's name for it is "Pisum sativum (pea) long non-coding RNA (PSAT_LNC025918)". Lineage: Eukaryota; Viridiplantae; Streptophyta; Magnoliopsida; Fabales; Fabaceae. The record is from RNAcentral.
AGCCUGCCACGUCAUUAAAUAAAACUCUGUGUUUCAAGCAGAGCGCGCGCCUAUUUGAAUGGUUCAGGGGAUCGAUUCCCCGCUCAUGCACCUUUCAUUUUGCCUUGCAUAUUUUUUCUUCCAAUUAUUCACAUGUUCAUCCUUGCUUGUUUCACAUUUUUUUAUUUUUUCAUCACAGUCAAAAAAUCAUAACUCAUGAAAUACAACUCCAAAUUGCAUGAUUCUUUUUUUGAAUUGUUCAUCAUGUU